GCCUCCCUGCCUGCUGCACAGAGACACACACACAGACACACACAUACACACACAGACAGAGACUUAUAUUGUAAUAAAGAGAACCCCAGACACAGAACCAGAGAGAGAUAAAUACAAAAAAAAAAAGUAAAACCAACAAAAAAAUCAACAAAAAAAAUGUACCUGUUAAUAACUCCAAAGGAGCACCACCCACUCAACCAACCUCCACAAACUGACAGCUCAGCAACUUCUCCGACUGGCCACCCAUCGCUGGAUGUUCCUCCACUUUAUCCACCAUAUAAAACAACUUUUACCAGUAAAUAUCGGUUUAUUCCUGAAAUCAGAAGCCCUAAACAUACCUUUGUUUAUAAGGUCAGUUGUCAUUUCCUCUCUAUCCUCCCCCAUUUAAAAUAAAUUAUGUGAUCUCUAAGGUAAUUGAAAGGUACAAAGUUUGCUUCCUAGUUUUCCUCCUCUGCACUACCAAAAAGGGAACUUACAGGACCUAGAGAACGUCUAUCGGUAAUGUAGGUGUGAAUUUACAAAUUAUUGUUGUUUUUAAAAUUUCAAACUUUUUUGGAAACUUACUUUUCAGACUACAGAUGCUUAGGUAAGCGGUGGUGGUGGGCACUCAUAGAAAUCCCCUAAAAAAUAAAUAAUUAGGAGACUGAUAUUUCACAAUAUCAUGUGUAGUUCUGUUCCAGUAUAUUCAUUCCUAGUCUUAGAAAGUACUUAUCUGAAAAUAUACACUAGAAAAUAAAACUUAGAUAAAGGGGAAAAAACAGAAUUUGAACAGGAUCUCUUUUUUAAAAUAUUCACAAAAAUAUGCUUUGAAGUUGAGAGAAGAGUCAAAUAGUGAAAUGUUCAAAACUUAAAAGGACAUUGUUGGGUAGUUUAGACCACAAAUUUAGGUUUUCUGGUUAUUUUACAAAAAAAUUAGUAGCAAUACAUUUGACAAAAGUUAAUCUUAUUCUUAAAAACCCAAAACAGGAUUUGGAAGUAUUUAAACACUUCUUUGUAAUGUUUGCAACCAAAGACAAUAGCAUUGUGCUCGUAUGCAAGAGACCGAAGCUAGCAAGGAAUAGAAAAUGAAGCUGACUUAACAGACCAAUGCAAAGAGUUAAAAAAGGAUUUUAAAAAUUCUUUCAAUUUUAAUUAUCUACAGCAUUCAUAAUGCAAGGCUAUUUUCUAUAGCUAUUGAGCUGAACAAUGUCCCUUUAAGGAGAUGCAGCACAAUUUACAAAUUUUAUCCUCGAUGUGUUUCCUUAUUUUUGUUAGUUUCAUGCUCUCAGUACAAAUCAAAGCUCUUGCAACCUUUGUUGGAGUCCAUAGUGACUGGAGUUUUCCAGCAGUAAGUACACUUUCUGAGCUGAAAACUACCUUUCCUCCCCUUUUGCAGCCUGUGUGGUUCUGAUUGCUGGCAGUUCUGUAGUACAGCAGCCUUAAUCUGAGCAAUUGAGACUGGUCCUACAUUAUCUUCAGACGGCUUGAGGAGGACUUCUGUUCCCAGUUUGGUACUCAAAUACUCCAUCCCACCUUGAGAAGUCACUUACUUUAAAAGCCAGUGAUAGAUUAUUCUCUUUAGCACUAAUGGAAAAUUAUACUGCAAAGCAGCUUUCGUAUAUUCAUAAUUCCCGUGCAAUCCCAAAUUGGAGAAAAGAGCCUAUUAAAGGUAUAUAUUACUCUAGAUAUUUCUUACUGUAAAUAUUGUAAUUUUAUAAUCCUGUGAAUAUUUUAUUAAUUUACAAAUAUUUAACAAAGUUUAAUCUGUGUGAGUUCAGAUUUAUUUAAUGGUGUUCCACUUCUGUGGUUCCUUCUGCAGUCAAUAUUGCACUAUAUUUUAUGUAAGAUUAACUUCAAUAAAAAAAAAGUUAACUGAUUUAAAUGCCUCUUUCUGGGAGAACAAAGUAUAGAGGCAAUUCUCUUCUUUAAAAUGUAACACUUAUGCUCUUCAGUCCCAGUGCUAAAGUAAUUUAAUGAAAUAUUAGUUACAAAUUUUCAAAGCUAACACAGCUAAACAACUGCACUUGGAACUUGUCAUUUUAAAACUUGAGUGUACUUGAAUGUAAAUGGCUUUUAUCAGCCAGUUUUCAGUAAACAAGAAUCUCUGCAAUAUCUAAUGUAUUGAAAAGCUAAACUCUUUAUAAUGAGUAAAGGAACGCUGUAUGAUCAGGGUUAAGUUUUUGUAAAAACAAGCAUUUGCAAAGGCCAAGUUCAAUAAAAAAAAUUUUUUUUUAAAUUCUAGUGAAAAUGUUUUUUGUUUUUUUUUGGCUGUAUGCAUUCCCCCUAGUGUUUGCAUCCCAAAUAUUGCAACUUUGUGGUAAUGUGUGUAUGGCCGAAAGCAACUAGAAAUUGACUAGUUGCAGAACAUGAAAUCUUUUUCAUUGUCCUAAUUAAAGGCUCAAGCCUGUGCCCUUUAAAGUCAGUGGCAGAGCUUUCACAGAAACAGGAUCAGGUCCUGAGUGAUCACUUUCCUCAUCUCCCUCAGCAGUGAUGGGGAAAAUAAAUUAGAUUUUCUAAAAUUCGUUGUUUUAUUAACCUAAGGUUCUCUAAAGACAUUUUCUUUUUUUAAAAUUAAUUUUUAACCUGAUUUUAACCCUUUAACAAUUCGAUUUUAAGAUGUUCAUGUUCUCUGCAGAAUUAUCAAAAGCAAAGUAUUUUUUCCUUUCAGAGGCCAGGGAGGAUUGAUCUCUAAUGUAUUCGCAACAUGACUCUCCUUCAAGGAUCCAAAAUAUCUCAGAGGUUUUUGUGGCAGGUGGUACUUUUGGGUUUACAAGUUAAUCUUUAUUAGAGAUGUGCCAAUAUAUGCUGCUUAUUGUAGUGUUGUUAUAUUUAGGCAUUUUAGCUAACUUACAAAUAUAUACUGUAACAGUAUACUUUGUACAGACUUAAUUUAAAAUUUAUUUAAAGAUUGAAAUAAAGUAGGCAAAAAAUAAAAAAUGUUUAUUUUUCAUUAGACUAAGCAGCUAUCAUUCUUUUGUUUUUAGUGUACUUGGACACCAAACAAUCUCAGAACGAUAAAAUAUUUUAGUUGAUAGGCCACAUUGCAGAAACUCUGUGGAUAUGUGUAUGUAUAUCUGUACUGUAUCUUGAUAACUGUUAACUCUAGAAUGCAAAUAAUGAAAUCAUACUCGUUUUACCAUUCAGAAGAGAAGUGUUUCACAGUUCGACUGUUUUCUCUGUUUUAUGACAAAAAGGCAUUUAUUUUCUGAAAGAUGUUUAUGAAGGGCCUGCCAUCUGGCUUCUCAAGUCAAUUUUUAAAAUUCCAGAGUGGGGGUGAUUACUUGUUUAGCCUUCACUGAUAGACCAAAGUCAGCUUUGACAUCAUAUUGGGGUGCUGCUCAAAUUUAUGUUUUAUGUCCUUUAAGUCAAAAAACAAAACAAGAAAAAAAUCAAGAUGUUAACUUCACUAUAGAACAAAUUCCUCACUGUACAGUAGAAUGGAUAUCUCUAAUCAAUCUGUUGUCAUUAAUAAUAGAUUCUUAUUUUUUUGAAUUACUUAUCUAUUUAAAAGAACAGCAAACAUUGUAUUUGCUAGUAAAUAUAAAAUGU
Molecule: long non-coding RNA, 3528 nt
Filed under: Gopherus evgoodei (Goodes thornscrub tortoise)
Lineage: Eukaryota; Metazoa; Chordata; Testudines; Testudinidae
Description: lncRNA (ENSGEVG00005005466.1)
Source: RNAcentral